GGUGGCUCAGUGGUGGAGCACCUGCCUUGCAUGCAUGAGGCCCUGGGUUCAAUUCCUCAGCACCA
This 65-nucleotide transfer RNA is filed under the name Dipodomys ordii (Ord's kangaroo rat). It matches the Rfam family "tRNA". From Rfam's summary of the family: Transfer RNA (tRNA) molecules are approximately 80 nucleotides in length. The record is from Rfam by way of RNAcentral. Lineage: Eukaryota; Metazoa; Chordata; Mammalia; Rodentia; Heteromyidae.